UACCAGCACCCCGAGUGGUCGGGACGAUUAUUGGGCCUAAAGCAUCCGUAGCCGGCCUUCCAAGUCCUCCGUUAAAUCCAGCUGCUUAACAGAUGGGCUGCGGAGGAUACUAUAAGACUAGGAGGCAGGAGAGGCAAGCGGUACUCAGUGGGUAGGGGUAAAAUCCGUUGAUCCAUUGAAGACCACCAGUGGCGAAGGCGGCUUGCCAGAAUGCGCUCGACGGUGAGGGAUGAAAGCUGGGGGAGCAAACCGG
Molecule: ribosomal RNA, 253 nt
Filed under: uncultured bacterium
Lineage: Bacteria
Description: partial 16S ribosomal RNA
Rfam family: Archaeal small subunit ribosomal RNA
Source: RNAcentral